GGGAUACAAAUUUGUAUCCAGAUCAUGAAGUACGUGGAAUCACUGAGUAUCAUGUAACAGAUUUGAAGCUUAUUACAUAGGCAAUGGGCAGUCAAAGGUUGUGGAAUGGGGUGAGAGAGGGAAGUAAUCCAAAUUUUCUUUCUUACUCUUAGAGUAUAAUUCAGUACAGAAGAGAGUGAGGAAAGACCAAAUGGACAAGCAAAUAGAAAGGAAGAGAAAAGUCCUACUUCUGGCAAGUUAGUAAGAAAGGUUUGAACCAGGACAGAAAUCAAAAGACAUGGGGGGGAAAAAGGCGUGGUGGAUUAUAUUUUCCAAAAAUCGCCAUAACAAUAUUUCCCAUCCCACAUGCUCUUCUGGAAACUUGUCACUCCUCAUGAAGAGGUAGGUUCUGUGACCCCUCCCCAUGAACCUGGGCAGGGCUUUGCGACUGCCUCAACUAAUAGAAUAUGACUGAAGUGAUGCUUUGUGACAUACAAGGCUAGGUCAUAAAAAGCGACAUAGCUUCUGCCUGGAUCUCUCUCUCUCAGGAUGCUUGUCCUUGGAAGCCAGCCAUUGUGCUGCAAGAAAGACUGGGUUACACAGAGAGGCCCAUGUGGAGAGAAACUGAGGCCCCUAGCCAUCAGCCCCAGCUGAGCUCCCUGCCGACAUGGAGCAUCAACUUAUUAGCCAGUGAACAAUCAUGAGAAAGUUCUAAAAGUUGAGCUCCGCAUGUUCAAAUGCCAGCAUUUGCCCAGGACCUCAUCCAAGACAAAGCCUACCACUAUCACAGGGCGGAGGAAGUGCACAAGGUCUUGGGUUCAUGCCAGAAUCAGAGUAAGGGAGCCUAUUUUCAACCGAGGAUCUUCCUCUGGCCUCUGAAGUCUGACCUAGACGAGCUGGAGAGCCCCAGGCAGAACUGUCUGCAGACCUCACCUCAGCUACCCCAGACAGUGGCCCCAGAGUGCAGGACACAGCUUGAAGGGACUUGUGUUGGCCAGAAGUGUCUGUUCUACAUGGACUUCCAGGGACAGCUAUAUGGAUGGAGAUAUCUCAUCUUGGCACUAUCAGCUUACCCUGGCCUUGGCAACGUGGUACCAAGCGACUAGAGUCCCACUGGGCUGCUUCCCCCUCACUGUGACUCUUACGUCCCAAAGUUCUUGUUACUGAAGCCCAAUUUCCAGGAACUGGCUCUGAUCUGAUUCAUGGGCUGCACAUAAGCUGCACAUUUCAGAUGUGUGAUGUGGUCCCAAUCUCGUCUUCCGUGGGUACCUCUGAAGUUUGGUGCUGCAUUCAGAGGGCGAGGGGUGGAGCCAAACUGUGUUGGCUCGUCUUCCACAGCUUGGAAUUUCCUAGCUAUGUGACCCUGGGGAAGUUACUUAACUCCUCCAUGUUCUCAGUUUCUUCAUCACAGGCUCGUUGUGAAGGUUAAAUACAUCAAUACAUGUAAACUGCUUUGAACCUUGCCAGGUACACAAAAUGCCAAAUUAACAUCGACUGUUAUUAUGCUUCAGCCACAUUGGCCUCCUGUUACCUACAAUACACCAUACUCCUCUCUACCUCAGAACUUUCACACAUGUGACUCCUCUCUACCUGGAAUCUUCCUUGCUCAUUCUUUUCCUUCAGGUCCCAAGUUAAACGGCACUUUGUCAGGGAGGCCAUUCCUGACCCAUCCAAGUUCCAGGUUAAGUCUCUUCUAAUACGUUCCUGUAACUCCCUGCAUAUCAGCCCAAUACUAAUCACAUUUGCAAUUUCUUGUUCAAUGACCAUCUUUCAGGCUAGACUACACACUCCAAAGGUAAGAAGGGGAUGCAUUUGUCUUAUUCAUUCUUGGACACCCAACACCCAGCACAGAGAUUACAAAUAAAUAUUUACAGGGUAAAUGAACCAACGGACUGUAAAGAGGGAAUUGGAGAAGGUUCGUGGAGGUGACAGUCCCAGACUUUGGGACAAGGUUACAUCCAAUAAUAAAAUUAAAAGACACAAAAUAAAGUAGAUUAGAUUAGCCACCUGGAGACCAGACAGCAAAUGAGUGGUUAGGGAGAUGGAGAAACAUCUAAGGCCCAGACAGGUUCGCCAGGAUGUACUGGCCUUUAGCGUUAGUUCUGCAAAACAAGGGAGCAGAAAGCUCAGCGGUGCAUUGAAUAAUAUUUUUGCCACCUGUAAGAAAUCAUCAUGGCAUGUAUCCCCAAAGCCUCCCUCUCCAAAGGGAGCAGAGGAUCCAAGUUGCCUGGAUAAUGUUAGUAACGCCUCCUUUUGGUACAUGCCUGAAGAACAGUGGUUCUCCCAUGAUGUUGCUUUUGCUCACUUCUUUAUUUGGCUGAGGGUGGGAGGAGCCAAGUAGGUUAGCAACACAUGCCCAAGAAGGAGGAGAGAGGAAAAGAUGUGUUCAUGGCUAGCACACAGCCCCUUCCUUCCCCUAAUCCUCCUUCAGAGUAGAACAUAGCUCAGCAUUAAAUAUUAAAUAAGUGAACUUGCUCAGUGCUCCAAUCACCCACAGCACAGCUUCUACAACACACUCACACAUUUCGAAGCCUCCUAAUUAACCAGAGGAAGCUAGAACUUCAUGGCGUUGUAGACAGCUCUAACGAGCUUGUUUUACAGGAGUUAAAGAAAUGUGUUGAUUGGAAAGUCGGGAGCACUAACGAUAAAAGACAAUGGACCCAAUACAUGGAGGCCAUUCUGUCUGUCCUGGAAGGAGAAAGAAGUUAGGGAAGUAAAGUUGGUCUACUGGGAGACUGGUGCCUUUCUCCAGAAUGACAGCCUCAAAACUGACUUCAUCGAACUGUCUUUACAGACUCUUAUUUGGGCAGAUCAGGAAGGUCCCUACACCUGCGUUCUAGCUUUGGUUUCUCAGACUCUGCCAGGUGGGACAGGUCCUGAGGAGCGAUGGGACGAGGAGUGCAGGGAGAAAGGGAGCAGAGAGGCCUGUGACAGCCUUCAUGCCCGUGCAGAGAGGAGAGAAUCCGUCCCCCUUGUUUCUUCACAGUGGGAAAGAAGGGAGAAAGAUCUGCAAAUUAAUCCAUUGUGACAACCUUUGUGAAGAACCUCACUGUUUGAUCUUGAAAAGAUUUCAUAAUUCUUUUGAUGGCUUUGAGAAGAGAAGGGGUAAAAAGUUAACUUCCUUUUGGAUUCUCUUAUCAAGAGUAAAUAAAGUUCAACUUUGCAUGUUCUCUAGUUAGCAAGCUCCCCUUCCUGGGACCCAGAGAUCAAGUUUGUGAUUGAGAGAAUUCAAUAAACAUGAGGAAAUGUGACCCAUUUGGGAACAAAGAUCCCAAUGUGCUCAUCUCCAAAGGGAAUCUGACUCUCCCCUGAAACUGUCAUAAGCCUCGGCCAGAGAAAUAUUCCCACCUCUGCAGGCAGGCGCUGAGCAGUUGGGUGAGCCGGGCCUGACCCUAGGAUUGCAGUAUGCUUCCCUUUCCAAGAAAAUGACCUGGGCAGGAAGACGAGAUAAAUGAAGCCCCCGAUGAAUGAGCAAAGGGAAGUUAGCUGGCUUUCCAAACUGGGUUCUGCCAGUGUCCCUCUAAGUGACCUUGUCUAAAUUAUAUCUUCUUUCUAGGCCUCAGGUUCUCAUUCUGUACAAUGGGAUAACAACUUCACUCUUACCUUACUCACUGGUUCAGCAUUCAAGAUGCCAACAUUUCACCUGCCAUCAAGCUACACAGCUGCAAGCUACCAGCUUCUAAACAGAGGGCUCUGGCCUUCGGUCCCAGGUGGUACAGUAUCAAAUGACUGGUAUUUCCACUUGGUGCUUGCCUGAAAAAGGAAGUAAACUGGGGCUGGCGCCAUGGCGUAGUGGUUAAGUUCGUGCACUCUGCUUUGGUGGCCCACGGUUCACAAGUUCUGAUCCUGGGCAUGGACCUAGCACUGCUUAUCAAGCCACGCUGUGGCA
Molecule: long non-coding RNA, 3868 nt
Organism: Equus caballus (horse)
Lineage: Eukaryota; Metazoa; Chordata; Mammalia; Perissodactyla; Equidae
Source: RefSeq, a predicted model, not a curated record